Molecule: ribosomal RNA, 612 nt
Filed under: Triticum aestivum (bread wheat)
Lineage: Eukaryota; Viridiplantae; Streptophyta; Magnoliopsida; Poales; Poaceae
Description: partial small subunit ribosomal RNA
Source: RNAcentral
AUGGGGAGGGCGCCGUGCUGCGACAAGGCGACGGUGAAGAGGGGGCCAUGGUCACCGGAGGAGGAUGCGAUGCUCAAGGCCUACAUUGAGGAGCGUGGCACCGGCAACAACUGGAUUGCAUUGCCACACAAGAUUGGGCUGAAGAGGUGCGGCAAGAGCUGCAGGCUGAGGUGGCUCAACUACCUGAGGCCCAACAUAAAGCACGGGGACUUCACCCCAGAGGAGGACAGCACCAUCUGCAAGCUCUACAUUAGCAUCGGAAGCAGCCGCAGCAGCAGCUUCGAUGUAACAGUAGCUGCUGAGCAGGGGCAGUCCAGCUCCCUGAACGAUCAGAACCUCGGCGGACAGCAGCAGAUGGAGACGACAGCCACCAUGGACGGCCUGGCCUCGCCGUCGAGCGCGGGCAACUCCAACAUCGUCACCAUCGAAGCCGAGCUUCAGGAGCUUCUCUACAGCGCUACGACGACGACGACCGACAGUGUCGUCACGCAGCAAGGGGGUGUGGACUGGUGGAGCUAUGAGCAGGGCAGGUCCCCAGUGAACUGCUGGGACUUCACCCCUGAAACCAGCUCGGUUCUCCAGGACUACACGUCCGUGGUGUAUGACAUGUGA